AGAGUUUGAUCCUGGCUCAGAACGAACGCUGGCGGCGUGGAUUAGGCAUGCAAGUCGAACGAGAAAUCAUUUCUUCAAGUUUUCGGACAAGAAGAGGUGGUGGAAAGUGGCGGAAGGGUGAGUAACGCGUGGGCAAUCUGCCCUUAAGUUCGGGAUAGCUCGCCGAAAGGCGAAUUAAUACCGAAUGUGGUCGUGUCACGCAUGUGACACUGUCUAAAGAUGGGGAUUCUUCGGAACCUGUCGCUUGAGGAUGAGCCCGCGUACUAUCAGCUUGUUGGUAAGGUAACGGCUUACCAAGGCUAAGACGGUUAGGUGGUCUGAGAGGAUGGUCACCCACACUGGGACUGAGACACUGCCCAGACUCCUACGGGAGGCUGCAGUCGAGAAUCAUUCGCAAUGCGCGAAAGCGUGACGAUGCGACGCCGCGUGCAGGAUGACGGCCUUCGGGUUGUAAACUGCUGUCGGGGGGGAGUAAUAACCAGAGUGCUAAUACCACUUUGGAAUGAUAGUACCCCCAAAGGAAGCCACGGCUAACUCUGUGCCAGCAGCCGCGGUAAUACAGAGGUGGCGAGCGUUGUUCGGAUUUACUGGGCGUAAAGGGUGCGUAGGCGGUAUCGUAUGUCGGGUGUGAAAGCCCACCUUUCAUGGGUGGAACUGCAUUCGAAACUGCGGAACUAGAGUACGGAUAGGAGAGCGGAAUUCAUGGUGUAGCGGUGAAAUGCGUAGAGAUCAUGAAGAACACCGGUGGCGAAGGCGGCUCUCUGGAACGAUACUGACGCUGAGGCACGAAAGCUGGGGGAGCGAAGAGGAUUAGAUACCCUCGUAGUCCCAGCCGUAAACGGUGUACACUUGGUGUAGGUCGGUUCACCCCGAUCUGUGCCGGAGCUAACGUGUUAAGUGUACCGCCUGGGGAGUACGGUCGCAAGGCUAAAACUCAAAGGAAUUGACGGGGGCCCGCACAAGCGGUGGAGCAUGUGGCUUAAUUCGAUGCAACGCGAAGAACCUUACCUGGGCUUGACAUGUGACUGCAAGCUUGCCGAAAGGCAGGAAUCCUUCGAGGGUGUCACACAGGUGCUGCAUGGCUGUCGUCAGCUCGUGCCGUGAGGUGUUGGGUUAAGUCCCGCAACGAGCGCAACCCUUGUGAUUAGUUGCCACUUUUUCAGAAAUGGAAGAAGCACUCUAAUCAGACUGCCUGUGAUAAGCAGGAGGAAGGUGGGGAUGACGUCAAGUCAGUAUGGUCCUUAUGUCCAGGGCUGCACACGUGCUACAAUGGGCGGUACAAAGGGAAGCAAGACCGCGAGGUGGAGCAAAUCCUCAAAACCGUCCUCAGUUCGGAUUGGAGUCUGCAACUCGACUCCAUGAAGCCGGAAUCGCUAGUAAAGGCGUAUCAGCUACGACGCCUUGAAUACGUUCCCGGGCCUUGUACACACCGCCCGUCACAUCACGAAAGCCGAUUGCACCCGAAGUCGCUGAUCCAACCCGCAAGGGAGGAAGGUGCCGAAGGUGUGAUUGGUAAUUGGGAUGAAGUCGUAACAAGGUA
RNAcentral lists this ribosomal RNA (1540 nucleotides) under metagenome. RNAcentral's name for it is "bacterial SSU rRNA". It matches the Rfam family "Bacterial small subunit ribosomal RNA". The record is from RNAcentral.